Molecule: ribosomal RNA, 211 nt
Filed under: Staphylococcus aureus
Lineage: Bacteria; Bacillati; Bacillota; Bacilli; Caryophanales; Staphylococcaceae
Description: partial 16S ribosomal RNA
Rfam family: Bacterial small subunit ribosomal RNA
Source: RNAcentral
GCUUGCUUCUCUGAUGUUAGCGGCGGACGGGUGAGUAACACGUGGAUAACCUACCUAUAAGACUGGGAUAACUUCGGGAAACCGGAGCUAAUACCGGAUAAUAUUUUGAACCGCAUGGUUCAAAAGUGAAAGACGGUCUUGCUGUCACUUAUAGAUGGAUCCGCGCUGCAUUAGCUAGUUGGUAAGGUAACGGCUUACCAAGGCAACGAUG